AAGUCGUAACAAGGUAACCGUAGGUGAACCUGCGGUUGGAUCAUUAACAAAAUACUUGCCCGUUCGCUUUCCCUUGGGAUUAAGCAAGAGUAAAGACACCAUAUGUGAACCUGUAGAGUGCCUUUUGGCAACGGAUCUCUAGGCUCUU
This 148-nucleotide unclassified non-coding RNA is filed under the name fungal sp. Its description in RNAcentral is "partial internal transcribed spacer region". The stretch from base 1 to 46 matches the Rfam family "Eukaryotic small subunit ribosomal RNA", at positions 1786 to 1831 of the family's 1831-position model. Lineage: Eukaryota; Fungi. The record is from RNAcentral.